GAUGAACGCUAGCGGCAGGCUUAACACAUGCAAGUCGAGGGGUAUAGUUCUUCGGAAUUAGAGACCGGCGCACGGGUGCGUAACGCGUAUGCAAUCUACCUUUCACAGAGGGAUAGCCCCAGAGAAAUUUGGAUUAAUACCUCAUAGUAUAGCAGUUUCGCAUGAAACCACUAUUAAAGUCACAACGGUGAAAGAUGAGCAUGCAUCCCAUUAGCUAGUUGGUAAGGUAACGGCUUACCAAGGCAACGAUGGGUAGGGGUCCUGAGAGGGAGAUCCCCCACACUGGUACUGAGACACGGACCAGACUCCUACGGGAGGCAGCAGUGAGGAAUAUUGGUCAAUGGACGCAAGUCUGAACCAGCCAUGCCGCGUGCAGGAUGACGGUCCUAUGGAUUGUAAACUGCUUUUGUACGAGAAGAAACAACAUUACGNGUAAUGUCUUGACGGUAUCGUAAGAAUAAGGAUCGGCUAACUCCGUGCCAGCAGCCG
This 489-nucleotide ribosomal RNA is filed under the name uncultured bacterium. Its description in RNAcentral is "bacterial SSU rRNA". It matches the Rfam family "Bacterial small subunit ribosomal RNA", at positions 28 to 517 of the family's 1533-position model. The record is from RNAcentral.